CUGACUGAGCCACCCAGUGCUCAAUAGUUCCUUUCUCUCUGAAUGCUGAAUAGUAAAUUUUCAACGUGAAUGGGGGAUAAACAGGCAUACAUACAUACAUACAUACAUACACCACUAAGAAAGCCAUGAGUUGUUAGACAUGAACUAUUUUCCAUCAUCUUUGUCUUCUAGUUAUAUUCAUGCCUCUAGUGUUUGUUGAUUGCAAUGCACGAUCUUGCUUGUGAGGUACAAAUUGUUGUGUGUUCAGUUUUCCGUGAAAGUCUUUCCUCAAAUCUGCCUUAACAACACGAUGCAAAUGUUGAAUUCAAGGAUGCAGAGCUAAGAGCCUUGAGGUGCAAUAACUGUCAACUAGAAGUUAUAUUUUCUGUUGGGGAGAUAUCCCCAUAUGAUGGCAAUGGCUUUGCAUUGGUAAGGGAAAGAAUACUUUCAUGCCUUCAGGGUUCUUGUCUUUUUUCUGUCACCAAAAUCAAGACUCAGGUCAUGUGCACGUUUAUGAAGAAAACACCUUUUUUUUUUUUCCAGAAAAUAAAAACGCCCUGGAAGACAAGCGUGCCACAUUGAGGUCUGUGAAAGCCACAAAGGAAGCGAAAGUCAAACAGCUGAAGGAGAAAGCACAUACCCUGGAAGAAUUCUAUGAACAAAGAAAAGUGCCUACAAAAAAGCAACAAAUUGAACAAACACGGGAACAGCUGCAGCAGGCAGAGCUCACCUUUAGAUACCAGGUAACCUGAGUUCUGCCUGACAUACUGAACCCUUAGCACCUCACGCGGGUGAGUGUAGUGGCCCUUGGAAUCCCUAACCAUGGGCUUUUCAUUGUUGGCUUUUUCAGCUUGCAGUUCAUGAGAAGAAUGCUCAGGACAACUAGGUAAGUGUUUUCUUGUUUCCUCCUCUUUGUUUGGUGCACAGUGUGGCACCACCUUCCGACUGAAGGUGGAUGUGUUUUUCUCCCCCAGAUCAAGACUCAGAUCUGGGACAGGGAGAUGGCGGAGCAGGGCAGGGAGGUUGGUUACUUGAAAUACAGGUGUGGUCAUUUGACUUGCGUUUUUAUGGGUGUUUCCAGGGAUGACACCUGCACUGUUAGUUGUCUAGUAAACACGUGGUGUUGCAACUCUUAUAGAAGUCCAUUAUUUUUGUGUAUCCAAGACUGGAAGGGAUGGAAGCAAAGAGGCUGCCUGAGGGAUACACGGGGCAGAAACCAAUGGCUGCAAGACCAGAGACGCAGAACCCUCCGAGGAGAGGUAAGAGGCACGUUGUGAUGUGCCGUAAUCUAACUUCUGCUGUGCAGCUUGUUCCUGUGGAUGAUCAUUGUGUGGUUGGAAAGAAUCACAAGCAGUAAGGACGGCAGGUGGUCUGAAGGGGUGACAGAAGGGUGUUCUCCUCUGGCGCCACAGACAGUGAGACACUUGUCCCUGAGACUGGUGGAGCUCAUGCCCCUCCUCUGCCGGUGACCCUCCCAACUCCUCUAGCAUCCCCCUGUCUGAAGAGCCUGGAAAGGAUGACAGGACAUGGGCCUAUUCCUUUUUCCCACUCAGACUCAAUGUGAAGACUUUAGUUUAUUUGAGGAGAAGGUCAUUUAUUCACUAGUUUUAAUGGUCUUUCUUUUUGUUUGUUUUUGGGAACUGUAGCUCUACAUCCCUCAAUUCAAGUUCCAUAAAGCUUAGCUUAGUCCUCUGAUGGUAUCAGUGUAACUCUGCAGCUUCACUGCUAACUUCUCACAGUUUUCCUUUUCUCUAUAGUGUAAAAUUAGUCUUUAGUUAUAUACUAAUUGCUCUCAUGUGGAAAGCAGCUUGUAGAUAAGCUGAGAGAUUGAACAAUUUGCCUGAAGUCUGAAGAAAUGCACGCUUCUUGAGGACUCAUUGAGGAUAUACACCAAACCAGUAUUCUCAAUGUUAUUUUUUUUUAAGUUUAUUUUAAGAGAGGCAGAGACAAAAUGCCAAGCAGGUUCCACACUGUCAGUGAGGAACCCAACGCUGGGCUUGAAUUCACAAGCUGUGAGAUCGUGACCUGAGCCAAAAUUAAGAGUCGGAUGCUGAAUCCAAGCAUCCUCAUAUUAAUUCUAUAUCUGUAAUGAAAAUCAUGAUUUCCCAUGAUGUAUACUGAGAAAACUGUUUUACUGAUGAAUUCUAAAUUGUUAGUUGUGCCUGACCUGUCCACAGUUAUGUGAUUAAUUAUGAAACAACAUGAACUAGAGCACUGUGAGGUCUUUAUCAAGGUGAGGGGAUGAUUCUCUCCCUUAUCCUUGGGGGUCACCUGAGGCAUGUGGGAUACCCUCUGCCUCUGGUCAGGGACCUGACUGUAGGGAAAAGUUUAAGAUAUUUGAGGAAUGAGUUGAGGGAUUGUUUUCAUUAUGCCCAGUCCUCUGAAAGCAGAAUAAACCUCUGUCCCUUCUAUGGUCGUUAGUAGAU
This 2405-nucleotide long non-coding RNA is filed under the name Felis catus (domestic cat). Its description in RNAcentral is "lncRNA (ENSFCAG00000043315.2)". Lineage: Eukaryota; Metazoa; Chordata; Mammalia; Carnivora; Felidae. The record is from RNAcentral.